CAGUCGCCACGGGAAUACGAAGGGUGCAAGCGUUACUCGGAAUUACUGGGCGUAAAGCGUGCGUAGGUGGUGGUUUAAGUCCGUUGUGAAAGCCCUGGGCUCAACCUGGGAAUUGCAGUGGAUACUGGGUCACUAGAGUGUGGUAGAGGAUAGUGGAAUUUCCGGUGUAGCAGUGAAAUGCGUAGAGGUCGGAAGGAACAUCUGUGGCGAAGGCGACUAUCUGGGCCAACACUGACACUGAGGCACGAAAGCGUGGGGGGCAAACAGGAUUAGAUACCCCCGUAGUCCCUGUCUCUUAUAC
Molecule: ribosomal RNA, 301 nt
Filed under: uncultured bacterium
Lineage: Bacteria
Description: partial 16S ribosomal RNA
Rfam family: Bacterial small subunit ribosomal RNA
Source: RNAcentral